AAAAAAAAAAAAAAGUGAUUAGUUUGCAGUUCACAUAGUAGGAGGGGGUCAGAUGUGAUAAGAUAAACAGACAGAUUUUAAAUCGUUAAAGUCAAAUUCCAUAGUAAAGUUUCUUAACUGGUAAAGGAGCUAAGCCAUCAAGCUGAUACAUAAUUGGAUUUAGCAUAGUAAACUUUCUUAACCAGAAUAUCUUUUUAGCCGCUCAGCAAAACCCCCAUGGCCAUCUAUCUGGGCUAACACACUUAAAAUUAGGCACAUUCUUAAUUCUUGCUGAAUUUGUUCCCCCUCUUCUCCAGGGUAGGGAGCAUCAGAUGUGCAAAGGGUUAA
RNAcentral lists this long non-coding RNA (327 nucleotides) under Bos taurus (domestic cattle). RNAcentral's name for it is "long non-coding RNA NONBTAT007349". The record is from RNAcentral. Lineage: Eukaryota; Metazoa; Chordata; Mammalia; Artiodactyla; Bovidae.